CUGGAAGAAUCUGGAGACAGGUGCUGCAUGGCUGUCGUCAGCUCGUGUCGUGAGAUGUUGGGUUAAGUCCCGCAACGAGCGCAACCCUUGCCUUUAGUUGCCAGCAGUUCGGCUGGGCACUCUAAAGGGACUGCCGGUGUUAAACCGGAGGAAGUGGGGAUGACGUCAAGUCCUCAUGGCCUUUAUGACCAGGGCUACACACGUACUACAAUGGCCGAUACAAAGGGCAGCGACACUGCGAGGUGAAGCCAAUCCCGUAAAAUCGGUCUCAGUCCGGAUUGGAGUCUGCAACUCGACUCCAUGAAGUUGGAAUCGCUAGUAAUCGUGGAUCAGCAUGCCACGGUGAAUACGUUCCCGGGCCUU
Molecule: ribosomal RNA, 363 nt
Filed under: uncultured Desulfobulbus sp.
Lineage: Bacteria; Pseudomonadati; Thermodesulfobacteriota; Desulfobulbia; Desulfobulbales; Desulfobulbaceae
Description: bacterial SSU rRNA
Rfam family: Bacterial small subunit ribosomal RNA
Source: RNAcentral